RNAcentral lists this ribosomal RNA (396 nucleotides) under uncultured bacterium. Its description in RNAcentral is "partial 16S ribosomal RNA". It matches the Rfam family "Bacterial small subunit ribosomal RNA", at positions 338 to 732 of the family's 1533-position model. The record is from RNAcentral.
CCUACGGGUGGCAGCAGUGAGGAAUAUUGGUCAAUGGACGAGAGUCUGAACCAGCCAAGUCGCGUGAAGGAGGACGGUCCUAUGGGUUGUAAACCUCUUUUAUCUGGGAACAAAACGUUCCACGUGUGGGCUCUUGUAUGUACCAUAUGAAUAAGGAUCGGCUAACUCCGUGCCAGCAGCCGCGGUAAUACGGGGGUUCCGAGCGUUAUCCGGAUUUAUUGGGUUUAAAGGGGGGGGAGGGGGGUUGUUAAGUCAGCGGUGAAAUCGGGGGGCUCAACCCCAUCCCGCCGUUGAAACUGGGGGUCUAGAGUGGGAGAGAGGUAUGCGGAAUGCGUGGUGUAGCGGUGAAAUGCAUAGAUAUCACGCAGAACCCCGAUUGCGAAGGCAGCAUGCCGG